Long non-coding RNA from Colletes gigas, 313 nucleotides. RefSeq lists it as uncharacterized. Lineage: Eukaryota; Metazoa; Arthropoda; Insecta; Hymenoptera; Colletidae. The record is from RefSeq and is a predicted model, not a curated record. The transcript is spliced from 3 exons.
UUGUGGACUGUCGGAAUAGUUUGGUGUUGUGAUGCAUUAUAUUUGAAAUAUUUACAGAGAUUUCAAGAAAAUAGAAGUGUGAAACAAGUUAAAACCAUCUUUGAACCAAACUGAAGGAUUUAAAAAUUGAUAAAGAUUGCAAAAAUUGAGAUUCUAAAUUGCCAUCAUUUAUUAUGGCUUCCAUUAUUGCAUACAUAUGAAUAAAUGAGGCUAUCGCUUCUUCAGUGGGGGCAGAAAGGCCCCCUCUUUCAACAGAAUGGGACCCAUAACCAGAAUAUAAAUUUUAAUGGAAUCAUCUACAACACAAUCGGAC